UACGUAGGUGGCAAGCGUUGUCCGGAUUUACUGGGCGUAAAGAGCGCGCAGGCGGCUGGUCAAGUCCGAUGUGAAAUCUCCCGGCUUAACUGGGAAACUGCAUCGGAAACUGAUCGGCUUGAAGGUGGGAGAGGGUAGUGGAAUUCCCGGUGUAGUGGUGAAAUGCGUAGAGAUCGGGAGGAACACCCGUGGCGAAGGCGGGUCUCUGGGCAACAACUGACGCUGAGGAGCGAAAGCGUGGGGAGCGAACAGG
RNAcentral lists this ribosomal RNA (253 nucleotides) under uncultured bacterium. Its description in RNAcentral is "partial 16S ribosomal RNA". It matches the Rfam family "Bacterial small subunit ribosomal RNA", at positions 524 to 776 of the family's 1533-position model. The record is from RNAcentral.